This 1045-nucleotide ribosomal RNA is filed under the name Acinetobacter oleivorans. Its description in RNAcentral is "bacterial SSU rRNA". It matches the Rfam family "Bacterial small subunit ribosomal RNA", at positions 418 to 1454 of the family's 1533-position model. The record is from RNAcentral. Lineage: Bacteria; Pseudomonadati; Pseudomonadota; Gammaproteobacteria; Moraxellales; Moraxellaceae.
UAUGGUUGUAAAGCACUUUAAGCGAGGAGGAGGCUACUUUAGUUAAUACCUAGAGAUAGUGGACGUUACUCGCAGAAUAAGCACCGGCUAACUCUGUGCCAGCAGCCGCGGUAAUACAGAGGGUGCAAGCGUUAAUCGGAUUUACUGGGCGUAAAGCGCGCGUAGGCGGCUAAUUAAGUCAAAUGUGAAAUCCCCGAGCUUAACUUGGGAAUUGCAUUCGAUACUGGUUAGCUAGAGUGUGGGAGAGGAUGGUAGAAUUCCAGGUGUAGCGGUGAAAUGCGUAGAGAUCUGGAGGAAUACCGAUGGCGAAGGCAGCCAUCUGGCCUAACACUGACGCUGAGGUGCGAAAGCAUGGGGAGCAAACAGGAUUAGAUACCCUGGUAGUCCAUGCCGUAAACGAUGUCUACUAGCCGUUGGGGCCUCUGAGGCUUUAGUGGCGCAGCUAACGCGAUAAGUAGACCGCCUGGGGAGUACGGUCGCAAGACUAAAACUCAAAUGAAUUGACGGGGGCCCGCACAAGCGGUGGAGCAUGUGGUUUAAUUCGAUGCAACGCGAAGAACCUUACCUGGCCUUGACAUAGUAAGAACUUUCCAGAGAUGGAUUGGUGCCUUCGGGAACUUACAUACAGGUGCUGCAUGGCUGUCGUCAGCUCGUGUCGUGAGAUGUUGGGUUAAGUCCCGCAACGAGCGCAACCCUUUUCCUUAUUUGCCAGCGAGUAAUGUCGGGAACUUUAAGGAUACUGCCAGUGACAAACUGGAGGAAGGCGGGGACGACGUCAAGUCAUCAUGGCCCUUACGGCCAGGGCUACACACGUGCUACAAUGGUCGGUACAAAGGGUUGCUACCUAGCGAUAGGAUGCUAAUCUCAAAAAGCCGAUCGUAGUCCGGAUUGGAGUCUGCAACUCGACUCCAUGAAGUCGGAAUCGCUAGUAAUCGCGGAUCAGAAUGCCGCGGUGAAUACGUUCCCGGGCCUUGUACACACCGCCCGUCACACCAUGGGAGUUUGUUGCACCAGAAGUAGCUAGCCUAACUGCAAAGAGGGCGGU